RNAcentral lists this ribosomal RNA (448 nucleotides) under Salmonella enterica subsp. enterica serovar Typhimurium. RNAcentral describes it as "partial 23S ribosomal RNA". It matches the Rfam family "Bacterial large subunit ribosomal RNA", at positions 587 to 1035 of the family's 2925-position model. Lineage: Bacteria; Pseudomonadati; Pseudomonadota; Gammaproteobacteria; Enterobacterales; Enterobacteriaceae. The record is from RNAcentral.
UGGGGUGUGACUGCGUACCUUUUGUAUAAUGGGUCAGCGACUUAUAUUCUGUAGCAAGGUUAACCGAAUAGGGGAGCCGGAGGGAAACCGAGUCUUAAUUGGGCGUUAAGUUGCAGGGUAUAGACCCGAAACCCGGUGAUCUAGCCAUGGGCAGGUUGAAGGUUGGGUAACACUAACUGGAGGACCGAACCGACUAAUGUUGAAAAAUUAGCGGAUGACCUGUGGCUGGGGGUGAAAGGCCAAUCAAACCGGGAGAUAGCUGGUUCUCCCCGAAAGCUAUUUAGGUAGCGCCUCGUGAAUUCAUCUCCGGGGGUAGAGCACUGUUUCGGCUAGGGGGCCAUCCCGGCUUACCAACCCGAUGCAAACUGCGAAUACCGGAGAAUGUUAUCACGGGAGACACACGGCGGGUGCUAACGUCCGUCGUGAAGAGGGAAACAACCCAGACCGC